Molecule: long non-coding RNA, 1964 nt
Organism: Oreochromis niloticus (Nile tilapia)
Lineage: Eukaryota; Metazoa; Chordata; Actinopteri; Cichliformes; Cichlidae
Source: Ensembl
GUAGCGCCUGCUGCAGUUCUCUGUACACUGUAAAUGUAUUUCAUGCAGUUAAGUGUAAGUUGAUUUUAUUUUAUUUGAGAUUUAAUGCUAAUCAUAAUCCAAGGAAUACACUUGAUUUCUUAAUAGAGAGCACCAGGGGCCCGCCAGCUUUGUUCUUUGAUGAAAGAAGGGUGGGAAAUCUUUUUAAAAUGAGUAAGAUUAAUAAAAGUCCAGGUCCUGAUAAUAUAUGUGGCCAGGUGCUUAGAACAUGCGCUGAGCAAUUAUGCAGUAUUUUUUAUUAUAUCUUUCUUUUAUCUCUUCAGCAACAGAAGGUUCCAGAGGUAUGGAAAAAAUCAAUUAUUUCUCCAGUUGCUAAGACCACAAAACCUACGUCAUUAAAUGAUUUUAGGCCUGUCGCUUUAACAUCCUUAGUGAUGAAAUCCUUUGAAAAACUUGUCAGGAAGGAGAUCCUGCAGCAAGUAGAGAAGCUUAUAGAUCCACUACAAUUUGCAUACAGGCCUUGUAGAGGUGUGGAUGAUGCAGUGGUCACUCUGUUGAACUACCUUUAUCACCAUCUUGAUGGCGCCAAAGCUCAUGCUCGGCUCUUAUUUAUUGAUUUUUCUUCAGCUUUUAAUACUAUCCAGCCACAUCUUUUAGUUGAUAAGCUUCUUAACCAGUUUAAACUUGAUUUUAAUCUCGUUGGUUGGAUUUUAGACUUUUUAACUGACAGAUUUCAGUGUGUGAGAGUAAACGGCUGUUUUUCCAAACAGCUGAACUCUUCUACUGGCUCGCCACAAGGUUGUUGUCUCUCUCCUCUACUGUAUAUUUUGUACACUAAUGACUGUCGCAGUACACAGGCCAACAGGCAUUUCAUUAAAUAUGCAGAUGACACAGUCAUUGUAAGCCUCCUUCAUGGUGAAGAGGAUUCCCAUGGGCCUGUUGUGGAUGAGUUUGUUUCGUGGUGUGAUCAGUCAUUCUUAAUGAUUAACACCUUAAAAACCAAGGACAUGGUUAUUGACUUCAGGAAGACAUCGCCCCAUCCUGCGCUAACAGUGGUAAAUGGUGCAGCCAUUGAACUGGUGGACAGUUAUAAGUAUUUGGGGGUUGUUCUUGAUAAGGCUCUGUCCUUUGAUUCACAUCUUGCUGCUACAGUGAAAAAGGUCCAACAAAGAUUGUACUUUUUAAGGAGGUUGAGAGGUUUUAAUGUUUCAUCUGAAAUGAUGACUCUUUUUUAUAAAAGUUUUAUUGAAUCUGUUUUAACUUUCUGUAUCAUUGCCUGGUACGGUAAUAUGUCCCUGAAUAAUAAGACCAGACUUAACAACCUGGUUAAAGUGGCUGGCAAGAUUUCAGGGAGGCCUCAGGUCCAGCUUGUGGAUUUUUAUAACAGGCAGGUGCUGAGGAAGGCAAACUCUGUCCUGUUGUGUUCAGAUCAUCCUCUCUUUAAUGAUUUUCAACUGCUUCCAUCAGGUCGUCGUUAUAAAGUGCCUGCAGUGAAGACAAAGAGACAUAGACUGUCUUUUGUACCUAGUGCUAUUAUCACAGUUAAUAACACUAAACCAUGAGUGUUGUUGCCAUUGCACAUUGCACUUUUUUUGAUGAAAAAUCUAGGUUGUUUUAUCAGGCUUAUAUUAUAUUAUUUUGGUGAGUGUAUGUGAUGUGUUGGUUGUCUGUUUGUUUGUUUGUAUGGACAUACUGCAAAUCAAUUUCCCGUUAGGGACAAUAAAGUUACCAUUGACCAUUGUGUACAUGUUGUUUGAGUAAAUCUUCUCAGUCAGUAAACACCAGUUUUAUCAUUAUCUUGAUUAAACAUACAUAAUGAAUACAUCCUUAUAUCUGAACAGAGAGAUAUAACAUGCACUAAAUUCAAAUUCACUGAGCCAGCCACUUGUUUGCAUGAGAUCUGAGACACUGGAAGCAGCAAAAAAGCUUGUAAAAUGUUGUUUUGUGCAAUUCAGGUGGACUGAAAGAAAAACUAUUAAUAAUAU